UACGUAGGGACCAAGCGUUGUCCGGAAUCAUUGGGCGUAAAGAGCUCGUAGGCGGCUCAGAAAGUCGGGUGUGAAACCUCCAGGCUCAACCUGGAGACGCCACCUGAUACUGCUGUGGCUAGAGUCCGGUAGGGGAACACGGAAUUCCCGGUGUAGCGGUGAAAUGCUUAGAUAUCGGGAGGAACACCAGUGGCGAAGGCGGUGUUCUGGGCCGGAACUGACGCUGAGGAGCGAAAGCGUGGGUAGCAAACAGG
RNAcentral lists this ribosomal RNA (254 nucleotides) under uncultured bacterium. RNAcentral describes it as "partial 16S ribosomal RNA". It matches the Rfam family "Bacterial small subunit ribosomal RNA", at positions 524 to 776 of the family's 1533-position model. The record is from RNAcentral.